This 253-nucleotide ribosomal RNA is filed under the name uncultured bacterium. RNAcentral's name for it is "partial 16S ribosomal RNA". It matches the Rfam family "Bacterial small subunit ribosomal RNA", at positions 524 to 776 of the family's 1533-position model. The record is from RNAcentral.
UGCGGAGGGUGCAAGCGUUGUCCGGAAUCACUGGGCGUAAAGGGCGCGUAGGCGGCUCAUGAAGGCUGUGGUGAAAGUCCGGGGCUCAACCUCGGAUCGGCCGUGGCGACUCGUGGGCUGGAGCACUGUAGAGGCGGGUGGAAUUCCGGGUGUAGCGGUGGAAUGCGUAGAGAUCCGGAAGAACACCAGUGGCGAAGGCGGCCCGCUGGGCAGUGGCUGACGCUGAGGCGCGAAAGCGUGGGGAGCGAACCGG